RNAcentral lists this long non-coding RNA (228 nucleotides) under Homo sapiens (human). RNAcentral's name for it is "non-protein coding lnc-PRICKLE2-3:4". Lineage: Eukaryota; Metazoa; Chordata; Mammalia; Primates; Hominidae. The record is from RNAcentral.
CUGGCUUCUACCUUAUUCAAUAUCUGCCAGGCGGGCAAGGCUCCUGGGAGCAUCCCUGAAGCCAUUUCUCUGGGCCAGGAGCCAGCUGUUCCCAAAAUGGCCACGAUGCCUCAGGAGGGAGGUUGACACCCUGUGCUCUCAGAAGCAGCUCAGAGCUCAGAGGCAGACCUCUACUCAUGCAAUUCUGCCUUCUGUGCAUGCAAUGGAUUGCUGCCAUCUCCAAUCAGG